AGAGCACCGGGUGCUAACGUCCGGACUCAAGAGGGAAACAACCCAGACCGCCAGCUAAGGUCCCUAAAAUUGGCUAAGUGGGAAACGAAGUGGGAAGGCUAAAACAGUCAGGAUGUUGGCUUAGAAGCAGCCAUCAUUUAAAGAAAGCGUAAUAGCUCACUGAUCGAGUCGUCCUGCGCGGAAGAUGUAACGGGGCUAAGCCAGUUACCGAAGCUGCGGAUUUGCAAUUUAUUGCAAGUGGUAGGAGAGCGUUCUGUAAGCCUGUGAAGGUGCGUUGUAAAGCGCGCUGGAGGUAUCAGAAGUGCGAAUGCUGACAUGAGUAGCGUUAAAGCGGGUGAAAAGCCCGCUCGCCGUAAGCGCAAGGUUUUCUACGCAACGUUCAUCGGCGUAGAGUGAGUCGGCCCCUAAGGCGAGGCAGAGAUGCGUAGUUGAUGGGAAACAGGUCAAUAUUCCUGUACCGAUGUGUAGUGCGAUGUGGGG
This 480-nucleotide ribosomal RNA is filed under the name uncultured bacterium. RNAcentral describes it as "bacterial LSU rRNA". It matches the Rfam family "Bacterial large subunit ribosomal RNA", at positions 984 to 1471 of the family's 2925-position model. The record is from RNAcentral.